GAUGCCCAGCUUGCUGGGCGGAUCAGUGGCGAACGGGUGAGUAACACGUGAGUAACCUGCCCCAGACUCCGGGAUAAGCCUUGGAAACGAGGUCUAAUACUGGAUACGAGACGCCCCUGCAUGGGGAGUGUCUGGAAAGAUUUAUCGGUCUGGGAUGGACUCGCGGCCUAUCAGCUUGUUGGUGGGGUAAUGGCCUACCAAGGCGACGACGGGUAGCCGGCCUGAGAGGGCGACCGGCCACACUGGGACUGAGACACGGCCCAGACUCCUACGGGAGGCAGCAGUGGGGAAUAUUGCACAAUGGGCGAAAGCCUGAUGCAGCGACGCCGCGUGAGGGAUGAAGGCCUUCGGGUUGUAAACCUCUUUCAGCAGGGAAGAAGCGCAAGUGACGGUACCUGCAGAAGAAGCGCCGGCUAACUACGUGCCAGCAGCCGCGGUAAUACGUAGGGCGCAAGCGUUGUCCGGAAUUAUUGGGCGUAAAGAGCUCGUAGGCGGUUUGUCGCGUCUGGUGUGAAAACUCAAGGCUCAACCUUGAGCUUGCAUCGGGUACGGGCAGACUAGAGUGCGGUAGGGGUGACUGGAAUUCCUGGUGUAGCGGUGGAAUGCGCAGAUAUCAGGAGGAACACCGAUGGCGAAGGCAGGUCACUGGGCCGCAACUGACGCUGAGGAGCGAAAGCAUGGGGAGCGAACAGGAUUAGAUACCCUGGUAGUCCAUGCCGUAAACGUUGGGCACUAGGUGUGGGGCUCAU
RNAcentral lists this ribosomal RNA (749 nucleotides) under Oerskovia sp. RNAcentral describes it as "bacterial SSU rRNA". It matches the Rfam family "Bacterial small subunit ribosomal RNA", at positions 70 to 832 of the family's 1533-position model. The record is from RNAcentral. Lineage: Bacteria; Bacillati; Actinomycetota; Actinomycetes; Micrococcales; Cellulomonadaceae.